AACGAACGCUGGCGGCAUGCCUAACACAUGCAAGUCGAACGAGACCUUCGGGUCUAGUGGCGCACGGGUGCGUAACGCGUGGGAAUCUGCCCCUCGGUUCGGAAUAACACAGAGAAAUUUGUGCUAAUACCGGAUAAUGACGAAAGUCCAAAGAUUUAUCGCCGAGGGAUGAGCCCGCGUAGGAUUAGCUAGUUGGUGGGGUAAAAGCCUACCAAGGCGACGAUCCUUAGCUGGUCUGAGAGGAUGAUCAGCCACACUGGGACUGAGACACGGCCCAGACUCCUACGGGAGGCAGCAGUGGGGAAUAUUGGACAAUGGGCGAAAGCCUGAUCCAGCAAUGCCGCGUGAGUGAUGAAGGCCCUAGGGUUGUAAAGCUCUUUUACCAGGGAUGAUAAUGACAGUACCUGGAGAAUAAGCUCCGGCUAACUCCGUGCCAGCAGCCGCGGUAAAGUCUAGCA
This 458-nucleotide ribosomal RNA is filed under the name uncultured bacterium. Its description in RNAcentral is "bacterial SSU rRNA". It matches the Rfam family "Bacterial small subunit ribosomal RNA", at positions 29 to 532 of the family's 1533-position model. The record is from RNAcentral.